CUUUACUUGUCAGUUGUCACAAAUGACGAAAAACAUUAAAAAUAUAGUCAAUGGAAAAAUUUGAUUCGUAUAGUGAUUAAUAGCUACUGAUAAUCAAGUUAUAACAAACAAACUUCAACAUUAACCAAAAAAAAACAAGGGUGAAAUAUAUUAAUAGGAUUUUUAAUCCUAAGUUUGGUGUGUUGAAGGAAAACUCAAAAGCAAUGGAACAAGAAACUGAAAAAGCGGACAAGGAGAUUACAACAGUUUUGCCGACGGCUCAAGAUGUGGUCGGAGACAACAGUGAUACUGGUCAGAGAGUAAAGGAAGAGGUGAAGAAGCAGUUUUGGCUCUCUGCUCCACUCAUCGGCGUGAGCCUCCUCCAAUACUCUCUCCAAGUCAUCUCCGUCAUAUGACCAUCUCGGCUUACUUCCUGUUGGAAUUCAUAGCGGUUUAUAACAAUUUAUAAAGCUAGUUAUGAAUUCAUAUGCCUAGAAUUUCAUGUCAAUAUCGAAAUAAACUUAGAUCUUAGUGUUUCAAAUAAGUUUAAUUUAUUUUAAUAUCUAAUCAUAUUAGAAAUUUAAACAAAUAAAUUGAAAUGAUCAAAUCAAAUCAAUCACACUAACCAAAUAAACCAGAGAAUUGGUUUAACCGGUUUAAAGGGUUACAUAGAAUCAUACUCCUUCCGUAUCUGAAUAAAUGUCGUUGUAGAGAAUUUUUUUCAUUACAAAAUAAAUGUCGUUUUCGAUUUUCAAUGCAAAAUUUAUUAGUGUUAUUCAGUAAUUUAUUUUUCUACUGGUUGAAAUAUGGUUCGGUGUAUUGGUAAUUGUGUUUUUAUAUAGGAAAUGUACAAAAUUAAUUGUUUCCUUAAUCCGUGCACAGACCCAAAACGACACUUAAUAUGAAGCAGAGAAAAUACAAUUUUGUUACAAUAACACACAUCGUCUAACAAACGGUUUAACCGCUUUAGGUGACGAUCAUACAAUCACAUGAUUCCAUGAUACAUAUAAUUUUAUUUAAAAAAUCAGGUCACCAAGAGUUACGAUAACAUUACUGAUGACUUUUAAAUUAUAUGUAUGCGUAAACAACUUAUAUAUUUACUUUUUGUAUAUAGCACACGAUCACCUCAUUAAUUAAAUAUGCAUGAACUUGGCAGUUUUACAUGAGCGUGAGACAAAAACGCAUAUUACACAAAGUACAUAUUAUUUGUGCUAUCAUGAUCAGUCAUAGUUCUCUUCUAUUCUUUACUUAUAUGUGAUAUUGAUCUUUCCUAAACAAUCAAUAUUUAUUAACAUAUAAAAUAGCACACAUCUUUAUCCAAUAAAGACAAAUAUAUGGUUUAGAAAUCGAUCGAUGAUACCGUAAUCAAAUUAGGGUUCUUCUUAACGUGUCAAACACAUCGAUUUCAAACCAUCAAAUUUCUCUAGUUGUUAAUCUAUACCAAAUUAUAAAUUAAACAAGAUCUGAUUUUAAUAUUAAACAUAUAGGCUCUGAUACCAAUGUUGGAAAUCAAAGCGGUUUAUAACAAUUUGUAAAUCUAGUUAUGAAUUCAUAUGCCUAGAAUCUCAUGUCAACAUUAAAAUAAACUUAGAUCUUAGUGUUUCAAAUAUACCUGGAAGUUUUGCAGCGGAAAGACAAACAAACCAAAUCGAGAUUUAAAGCACUCCAAACGUUAUGCCUCUACCGGUAUCCACACGCACACAAACUGGAUUGAUUCGGGAUGCUAGUGCCGUCGAGAUCAAAUCUCGAAACCUUGAUGAACUCAUUGUUGCUUGCGUAAGAAGAAAACAAUUUUUUUCUUCACACCUUUACGUCUCGGUUGUAAAGUGCGGCCAGCCAUCUUCAUUA
RNAcentral lists this long non-coding RNA (1827 nucleotides) under Brassica napus (rape). Its description in RNAcentral is "long non-coding RNA (BNAP_LNC020977)". The record is from RNAcentral. Lineage: Eukaryota; Viridiplantae; Streptophyta; Magnoliopsida; Brassicales; Brassicaceae.